RNAcentral lists this transfer RNA (84 nucleotides) under Candidatus Methanolliviera sp. GoM_oil. Its description in RNAcentral is "tRNA-Ser". It matches the Rfam family "tRNA". From Rfam's summary of the family: Transfer RNA (tRNA) molecules are approximately 80 nucleotides in length. Their secondary structure includes four short double-helical elements and three loops (D, anti-codon, and T loops). Further hydrogen bonds mediate the characteristic L-shaped molecular structure. tRNAs have two regions of fundamental functional importance: the anti-codon, which is responsible for specific mRNA codon recognition, and the 3' end, to which the tRNAs corresponding amino acid is attached (by aminoacyl-tRNA synthetases). tRNAs cope with the degeneracy of the genetic code in two manners: having more than one tRNA (with a specific anti-codon) for a particular amino acid; and 'wobble' base-pairing, i.e. permitting non-standard base-pairing at the 3rd anti-codon position. Lineage: Archaea; Methanobacteriati; Methanobacteriota; Candidatus Methanoliparia; Candidatus Methanoliparales; Candidatus Methanollivieraceae. The record is from RNAcentral.
GCCGGGGUGGCUGAGUGGUAAGGCGCAAGCCUGGAGAGCUUGUGUCCCUUUCGGGACGCAAGGGUUCAAGUCCCUUCCCCGGCG